AUGGUGUUGCUUGACAUUAGGGGUAUGUUGCAGUCCAUGGGAAAAGACAUAGCUGAUUUCGCUCUUCCAUGCAUUGACGAUGCGUUCGACCCAAACGAGGGCGAGGCCAGAGAAGUGAUCGAGGAAUCCAACAUCGAUUUUGACAUCAACGACAUAUUGGCAUCGUCACUAAACUUGGAGCAGAGGGUUGCAUACGACGAGAUACUAGCUGCUGUUGAACGCGGUGAUGGGGGUGUGUUCUUUGUUGAUGGCCCGGGAGGUACAGGGAAGACCUUCCUGUACAGGGCGCUGCUCGCCAAGGUUCGAAGCGAGGGAAACAUCGCUAUCGCUACCGCGACGUCAGGUGUCGCCGCUUCUAUCAUGCCUGGAGGUAGGACUGCCCACUCGAGGUUCAAGAUCCCAUUGAGCUGCGACGAUGGCGCCUCAUGCACCUUCACGAAGCAGAGUGGUACCGCCAAGCUACUGAGGAUGGCCUCAUUGAUACUAUGGGACGAGGCCACCAUGACUAAGCGACAGGCGGUCGAGGCACUCGACAACAGCAUGCGCGACAUCAUGGGAAGACGGGACCGACCCUUUGGAGGAAAAACUGUUGUGUUUGGCGGGGACUUCAGGCAGGUGCUUCCAGUCGUCGGGAGGGGUCCCGGGGUCAGAUAA
This 654-nucleotide ribosomal RNA is filed under the name Triticum aestivum (bread wheat). Its description in RNAcentral is "partial small subunit ribosomal RNA". The record is from RNAcentral. Lineage: Eukaryota; Viridiplantae; Streptophyta; Magnoliopsida; Poales; Poaceae.